GUUAUGCUUUGUUGUCCAUAAUUACGGUCGUGCGAAUUGAACUCCAACCUGGCUUCCAUAUGUUUUCGCCGCGGAGGGGUGAAUAACACGUGUGCAACCUGCCUGUAAGAGUGGGAUAUCUUCGGGAAACCAAAUCUAAUACCGGAUAGGAUCUUCUCCUUCGUGGGAGAUGAUUGAAAGAUGGUUUCGGCUAUCACUUACAUAUGGCCCCGCGGCGCAUUAUCUAUUUGGAGAGGUAACCGCUCACCAGGGACACUAUGCAUACCCCACCUGAGAGGGUGAUCGGCCACUCUGGGACUGACACACCGCCCACACUCCUACGGGAGGCAGCAAUAGGGAAUCUUCCACAGUGGACAAAAGUCUGACAGAGCAACCCCGCGUGAGUGAUGAAGGUUUUCGGGUCGUAAAUCUCUGUUGUUAGGGAAAAACAUGUACGAGAGUAACUGCUCGCACCUUGACGGUACCUAACCAGAAAGCCACGGCUAACUACGUGCCAACACCCGCGGAAAUACAUAUGUGGCAAGCGUUCUCCAGAAUUAUUGGGCGUAAAGCGCGCACACGCUUUUUCUUAACUCAGAUGUGAAACCCCACGGCUCACCCGGGGAGGGUCUUUGAAAACUGGAAAACUUGUGUGCAAAAGAAAAGAGCAGAUUUCCACGUGUAGCGGAGAAAUGCAUAGAGAUGUGGAAGAACCCCUGUGGCAAACGCCUCUUUGUGGUCUGUAACUGACUCUGAGGCGCAAAAGCGUGGGGAGCAAACGGGAUUAUAUACCCU
RNAcentral lists this ribosomal RNA (774 nucleotides) under Priestia megaterium. RNAcentral describes it as "bacterial SSU rRNA". It matches the Rfam family "Bacterial small subunit ribosomal RNA", at positions 61 to 788 of the family's 1533-position model. Lineage: Bacteria; Bacillati; Bacillota; Bacilli; Caryophanales; Bacillaceae. The record is from RNAcentral.